Sinocyclocheilus anshuiensis is the source of this 131-nucleotide long non-coding RNA. RefSeq lists it as uncharacterized. The transcript has 2 exons. The record is from RefSeq and is a predicted model, not a curated record. NCBI's taxonomy places the organism in Eukaryota, Metazoa, Chordata, Actinopteri, Cypriniformes, Cyprinidae.
GCGGUCACUGGGUGGCCUCCGCUGCUUCUGUGUCUUGCUCAGAGGGCUGCAACAUUUUGAAGGAAGUAAGGCCGCAUGCAUGCGCGCUGCUGCAGAAAACAGAAGUCGAAGGUGACAGACAAAGCGAGAGU